RNAcentral lists this transfer RNA (74 nucleotides) under Patescibacteria group bacterium. Its description in RNAcentral is "tRNA-Arg". It matches the Rfam family "tRNA". From Rfam's summary of the family: Transfer RNA (tRNA) molecules are approximately 80 nucleotides in length. The record is from RNAcentral.
GCCCUCGUAGCUCAAUCGGAUAGAGCAGCGCACUCCUAACGCGCAGGUUGUCCGUUCAAUUCGGACCGAGGGCA